AGAGUUUGAUCAUGGCUCAGAGUGAACGCUGGCGGCGUGCUUAACACAUGCAAGUCGAGCGAAUUCUGGCAGCGUAUCGCCAGAGUUAGCGGCAGACGGGUGAGUAAUACUUGGGUAAUCUACCCUUGAGUGGGAAACAACCUGCCGAAGGGCGGGCUAAUGUCCCAUAAGACCACAGGAUGGCAUCAUCCAGGGGUCAAAGCUCCGCAAGGGGCGCUUUUGGAGGAACCCGAGUCCUAUCAUGGUAGUUGGUGAGGUAAUGGCUCACCAAGCCUUUGACGGGUAGCCGGCCUGAAAGGGUGAUCGGCCACACUGGCACUGAGACACGGGCCAGACUCCUACGGGAGGCAGCAGUGGGGAAUUUUGGACAAUGGGGGCAACCCUGAUCCAGCGACGCCGCGUGAAGGACGAAGGUCUUCGGAUUGUAAACUUCUUUUGAAGGGGAUGAAUGUUCUGGUGAAUAGCCAGACGUGACAGUACUCUUCGAAUAAGCCACGGCUAACUACGUGCCAGCAGCCGCGGUAAUACGUAGGUGGCAAGCGUUACUCGGAAUCACUAGGCGUAAAGCGCAGGUAGGCGGUUCGGUAAGUCUUUUGUGAAAGCUCCUGGCUCAACUGGGAGAGGUCAAAGGAAACUACCGGGCUAGAGUGUGGUAGGGGAUACUGGAAUUCCUGGUGUAGCGGUGAAAUGCGUAGAUAUCAGGAGGAAUACCUAUGGCGAAAGCAGGUAUCUGGGCCAUCACUGACGCUGAGCUGCGAAAGCUAGGGGAGCAAACAGGAUUAGAUACCCUAGUAGUCC
RNAcentral lists this ribosomal RNA (798 nucleotides) under uncultured bacterium. RNAcentral describes it as "bacterial SSU rRNA". It matches the Rfam family "Bacterial small subunit ribosomal RNA", at positions 8 to 796 of the family's 1533-position model. The record is from RNAcentral.